This 433-nucleotide ribosomal RNA is filed under the name uncultured bacterium. RNAcentral describes it as "partial 16S ribosomal RNA". It matches the Rfam family "Bacterial small subunit ribosomal RNA", at positions 29 to 507 of the family's 1533-position model. The record is from RNAcentral.
AACGAACGCUGGCGGCAUGCCUAACACAUGCAAGUCGAACGAGACCUUCGGGUCGGGUGGCGACGGGUUGCGUAACGGGGGGUAACCUGCCCUUACGUUCGGAAUAACUGCCGGAAAGGGGUCGUAAGACGGGCUAAUGUCGUCUGACCAAAGAUGUGUAGAGCUUGGAGGGGCCCGGAUUGGUUUAGCUGGUUGGUAGUGUAAAAGCCUACCAAGGCGUCGAUCCAUAGCUGGUGUGAGAGGAUCAUCAGCCACACUGGGUGUGAGACACGGUCGGGACUCCUGCGGGAGGCAGGAGUGGGGAAUAUUGGACUAUGGGCGAAGGGCUGAUGCAGUAAGGCUGCGUGAGUGAUGAGGGCAUUAGGGUUGUAAAGCUCUUUUAUCCGGGAUGAUAAUGACGGUACCGGGAGAAUAAGCACCGGCUAACUCCGUG